AUUGAACGCUGGCGGCAGGCUUAACACAUGCAAGUCGAGCGGGGUGAUGGUGCUUGCACUAUCACUUAGCGGCGGACGGGUGAGUAAUGCUUAGGAAUCUGCCUAUUAGUGGGGGACAACAUCUCGAAAGGGAUGCUAAUACCGCAUACGUCCUAAGGGAGAAAGCAGGGGAUCACUUGUGACCUUGCGCUAAUAGAUGAGCCUAAGUCGGAUUAGCUAGUUGGUGGGGUAAAGGCCUACCAAGGCGACGAUCUGUAGCGGGUCUGAGAGGAUGAUCCGCCACACUGGGACUGAGACACGGCCCAGACUCCUACGGGAGGCAGCAGUGGGGAAUAUUGGACAAUGGGGGGAACCCUGAUCCAGCCAUGCCGCGUGUGUGAAGAAGGCCUUAUGGUUGCAAAGCACUUUAAGCGAGGAGGAGGCUCUUUUGGUUAAUACCCAAGAUGAGUGGACGUUACUCGCAGAAUAAGCACCGGCUAACUCUGUGCCAGCCGCCGCAGUAA
Molecule: ribosomal RNA, 503 nt
Filed under: uncultured bacterium
Lineage: Bacteria
Description: partial 16S ribosomal RNA
Rfam family: Bacterial small subunit ribosomal RNA
Source: RNAcentral